This 506-nucleotide ribosomal RNA is filed under the name uncultured bacterium. RNAcentral describes it as "partial 16S ribosomal RNA". It matches the Rfam family "Bacterial small subunit ribosomal RNA", at positions 29 to 523 of the family's 1533-position model. The record is from RNAcentral.
AGUGAACGCUGGCGGUAGGCCUAACACAUGCAAGUCGAACGGCAGCACAGGAGAGCUUGCUCUCUGGGUGGCGAGUGGCGGACGGGUGAGGAAUACAUCGGAAUCUACUUUUUCGUGGGGGAUAACGUAGGGAAACUUACGCUAAUACCGCAUACGACCUACGGGUGCAAGCAGGGGACCUUCGGGCCUUGCGCGAUUGAAUGAGCCGGUGUCGGAUUAGCUAGUUGGCGGGGUAAAGGCCCACCAAGGCGACGAUCCGUAGCUGGUCUGAGAGGAUGAUCAGCCACACUGGAACUGAGACACGGUCCAGACUCCUACGGGAGGCAGCAGUGGGGAAUAUUGGACAAUAGGCGCAAGCCUGAUCCAGCCAUACCGCGUGGGUGAAGAAGGCCUUCGGAUUGUAAAGCCCUUUUGUUGGGAAAGAAAUCCAGCUGGCUAAUACCCGGUUGGGAUGACGGUACCCAAAGAAUAAGCACCGGCUAACUUCGUGCCAGCCGCCGCGGUAA